RNAcentral lists this ribosomal RNA (466 nucleotides) under uncultured bacterium. Its description in RNAcentral is "bacterial SSU rRNA". It matches the Rfam family "Bacterial small subunit ribosomal RNA", at positions 331 to 793 of the family's 1533-position model. The record is from RNAcentral.
CCAGACUCCUACGGGAGGCAGCAGUGAGGAAUAUUGGUCAAUGGGCGGGAGCCUGAACCAGCCAAGUCGCGUGAGGGAUGACGGCCCUAUGGGUUGUAAACCUCUUUUGCCGGGGAGCAAAGUGCCGCACGUGUGCGGUUUGGAGAGUACCCGGAGAAAAAGCAUCGGCUAACUCCGUGCCAGCAGCCGCGGUAAUACGGAGGAUGCGAGCGCUAUCCGGAUUUAUUGGGUUUAAAGGGUGCGUAGGCGGACGCUUAAGUCAGGGGUAAAUUUGCGGGGCUCAACCGCGUCGAGCCGUUGAAACUGGCGUUCUUGAGUGGAAGAGAAGUAUGCGGAAUGCGUGGUGUAGCGGUGAAAUGCAUAGAUAUCACGCAGAACCCCGAUUGCGAAGGCAGCAUGCCGGCUUCCGACUGACGCUGAAGCACGAAAGCGUGGGGAUCGAACAGGAUUAGAUACCCUAGUAAAG